UCCGGUUGAUCCUGCCGGAGGCCACUGCUAUGGGGGUCCGACUAAGCCAUGCGAGUCAUGGGGCGCCUUGCGCGCACCGGCGGACGGCUCAGUAACACGUCGGUAACCUACCCUCGGGAGGGGGAUAACCCCGGGAAACUGGGGCUAAUCCCCCGUAGGCCUGAGGUACUGGAAGGUCCUCAGGCCGAAAGGGUCUUUGACCGCCCGAGGAUGGGCCGGCGGCCGAUUAGGUAGUUGGUGGGGUAACGGCCCACCAAGCCGAAGAUCGGUACGGGCCAUGAGAGUGGGAGCCCGGAGAUGGACACUGAGACACGGGUCCAGGCCCUACGGGGCGCAGCAGGCGCGAAACCUCCGCAAUGCUCGAAAGAGCGACGGGGGGACCCCCAGUGCCGUGGCAUCGCCACGGCUUUUCCGGAGUGUAAAGAGCUCCGGGAAUAAGGGCUGGGCAAGGCCGGUGGCAGCCGCCGCGGUAAUACCGGCGGCCCGAGUGGUGGCCGCUAUUAUUGGGCCUAAAGCGUCCGUAGCCGGGCCAGUAAGUCCCUGGCGAAAUCCCACGGCUCAACCGUGGGGCUUGCUGGGGAUACUGCUGGCCUUGGGACCGGGAGAGGCG
RNAcentral lists this ribosomal RNA (610 nucleotides) under uncultured archaeon. RNAcentral describes it as "bacterial SSU rRNA". It matches the Rfam family "Archaeal small subunit ribosomal RNA", at positions 1 to 610 of the family's 1478-position model. The record is from RNAcentral.